AACCGCCGUAUACGGAACCGUAUGUACGGUGGUGUGAGAGGACGGGGGAGGUAACUCCCCCUCCUACUCAAU
This 72-nucleotide non-coding RNA is filed under the name Marinobacter segnicrescens. The record is from RNAcentral. Lineage: Bacteria; Pseudomonadati; Pseudomonadota; Gammaproteobacteria; Pseudomonadales; Marinobacteraceae.